GUGCUCACCUUGGCAGCACAUACACUAAAAUUGAAAUGGUACAAAGAAGAUUAGCAUGGCCCCUGCACAAGGAUGACAUGCAAAUUCAUGUAGCUUUCCAUGUUUUU
Suricata suricatta (meerkat) is the source of this 107-nucleotide small nuclear RNA. NCBI's taxonomy places the organism in Eukaryota, Metazoa, Chordata, Mammalia, Carnivora, Herpestidae. The record is from Ensembl.